RNAcentral lists this transfer RNA (71 nucleotides) under Urocitellus parryii (Arctic ground squirrel). Its description in RNAcentral is "Spermophilus parryii (Arctic ground squirrel) tRNA". It matches the Rfam family "tRNA". Rfam says of the family: Transfer RNA (tRNA) molecules are approximately 80 nucleotides in length. Lineage: Eukaryota; Metazoa; Chordata; Mammalia; Rodentia; Sciuridae. The record is from Rfam by way of RNAcentral. RNAcentral also lists the same sequence under 1 other name.
GGGGUUGUGGCUCAGUGGUAGAGCGCUUGCCUAGCAUGCAUGAGGCACUGGGCUAGAUCCCUGGAACCACA